GUGCCCAUGGCGUAAAAUUUUGACCUUAAGAUGUUUUGGGGCCUUAAAAUGAGUUACUCUGACCUCCUGAAGCCAUCCCAGUGGUUUGCAAUGUGUUACUGUGUACACCGAGCUGUGCUGGAGGUUCCUCCCAGUUUGUAAACAAACUCUGACACAGCAUCCAAUUGACGCAAAGCUCGUGUGUGCCCGAGAUGACGUCCUGCCCUCGUUCGCUCUCAACUCGUCCACGCCCUCUCUCCACCCACUAGCACGCCCAUUCAUUUGAAAACUCUAUAAAUACCAGCAGAACACCACAUACGUGCCUGUUCAAUGUCUGAGGGAACAUUUUCCGGAUUAAUGCUUUCACAAUCUGGGACAAUACAGAGCAAGUUAUGGCCAACACCUGACGCUGAAGUCUGGAUCAAUACCACCAAGCCUCCUGAACAAAAGUUCCCGAAGAAAGCAACAUGAUGAAGCAAAACUGCUCCCUCACCACUACGUUGGAGUCUUCCCAUUCAGUCAUCACCCAAUUUGCUCCAAAGAAUCAAACACAAGCAGACACUUCUUACAGAUGGCUGUCCCCUAGAAUGAAAAUGCACACCAACCACCGGCAAACAUCAAAAGCUAAUCCAACCUUUGGUCUUCGGAAACCCCGUGACUAAUGCAAUGUUGGUGCCCUAGAAGACAAGUCAGCGCAGUUCAGACGAGCCAGCCAGAGGAGGUCACCGCCAGCCUUGUAUCGAGGUCCCAACGUCCUUCAUCGGGGAACUCGGCAUGGAUAUGCAAGACAACACUCGAAUCACUGUUGGACAAAUGCCUGAAACGGCUGGAAAAAUAGAAAAGAUGGUUACAGAGACUGUUAUUGCUGUUCUUCUUUCAAUACAAUAUUUGCCUUCCAUAAAAUAUCCCCAUGUUCCAAUUUAAUAUUCUUGAUGCUGUUGUAAAUAAAUGUGUACACUGUC
This is a long non-coding RNA of Engraulis encrasicolus (European anchovy), 941 nucleotides long. RefSeq lists it as uncharacterized. Lineage: Eukaryota; Metazoa; Chordata; Actinopteri; Clupeiformes; Engraulidae. The transcript has 4 exons. The record is from RefSeq and is a predicted model, not a curated record.